GCCUUCGUGGUGUAACGGUAGCACAUUCGCCUCAUAUUCGAGAGGUCCAGGUUCGAGUCCCGGCGAGGGCG
RNAcentral lists this transfer RNA (71 nucleotides) under Stegodyphus mimosarum. It matches the Rfam family "tRNA". Rfam says of the family: Transfer RNA (tRNA) molecules are approximately 80 nucleotides in length. Their secondary structure includes four short double-helical elements and three loops (D, anti-codon, and T loops). Further hydrogen bonds mediate the characteristic L-shaped molecular structure. tRNAs have two regions of fundamental functional importance: the anti-codon, which is responsible for specific mRNA codon recognition, and the 3' end, to which the tRNAs corresponding amino acid is attached (by aminoacyl-tRNA synthetases). tRNAs cope with the degeneracy of the genetic code in two manners: having more than one tRNA (with a specific anti-codon) for a particular amino acid; and 'wobble' base-pairing, i.e. permitting non-standard base-pairing at the 3rd anti-codon position. The record is from Rfam by way of RNAcentral. Lineage: Eukaryota; Metazoa; Arthropoda; Arachnida; Araneae; Eresidae.